GCCCUGGUGGCAGAACAGUUAAGUGCUUGGCUGCUAACCAAAAGGUCGAUGGUUUGAACCCAUCCAGUGCC
Molecule: transfer RNA, 71 nt
Filed under: Loxodonta africana (African savanna elephant)
Lineage: Eukaryota; Metazoa; Chordata; Mammalia; Proboscidea; Elephantidae
Rfam family: tRNA
About the family: Transfer RNA (tRNA) molecules are approximately 80 nucleotides in length. Their secondary structure includes four short double-helical elements and three loops (D, anti-codon, and T loops).
Source: Rfam by way of RNAcentral